CCUACGGGUGGCUGCAGUGAGGAAUAUUGGUCAAUGGGCGUAAGCCUGAACCAGCCAAGUCGCGUGAGGGAUGAAGGUUCUAUGGAUCGUAAACCUCUUUUAUCAGGGAAUAAAGUGUGGGACGUGUCCUAGUUGGUAUGUACCUUAUGAAUAAGGAUCGGCUAACUCCGUGCCAGCAGCCGCGGUAAUACGGAGGAUCCGAGCGUUAUCCGGAUUUAUUGGGUUUAAGGGGUGCGUAGGCGGGCUUUAAAGUCAGCGGGAAAAGCGUGGGGCUAAACCCAGGACAGCCGUUGAAACUGGGGGUCUUGAGUAGGAGAGAGGUAUGCGGAAUGCGUGGUGUAGCGGUGAAAUGCAUAGAUAUCACGCAGAACUCCGAUUGCGAAGGCAGCAUGCCAGGCCAUGACUGACGCUGAAGCACGAAAGCGUGGGUAUCGAACAGGAUUAGAUACCCUGGUAGUC
This 459-nucleotide ribosomal RNA is filed under the name uncultured bacterium. RNAcentral's name for it is "partial 16S ribosomal RNA". It matches the Rfam family "Bacterial small subunit ribosomal RNA", at positions 338 to 795 of the family's 1533-position model. The record is from RNAcentral.